GAUGAACGCUGGCGGCGUGCCUAAUACAUGCAAGUUGAGCGAACAGAUAAGGAGCUUGCUCCUUUGACGUUAGCGGCGGACGGGUGAGUAACACGUGGGUAACCUACCUAUAAGACUGGAAUAACUCCGGGAAACCGGGGCUAAUGCCGGAUAACAUUUAGAACCGCAUGGUUCUAAAGUGAAAGAUGGUUUUGCUAUCACUUAUAGAUGGACCCGCGCCGUAUUAGCUAGUUGGUAAGGUAACGGCUUACCAAGGCAACGAUACGUAGCCGACCUGAGAGGGUGAUCGGCCACACUGGAACUGAGACACGGUCCAGACUCCUACGGGAGGCAGCAGUAGGGAAUCUUCCGCAAUGGGCGAAAGCCUGACGGAGCAACGCCGCGUGAGUGAUGAAGGUCUUCGGAUCGUAAAACUCUGUUAUUAGGGAAGAACAAAUGUGUAAGUAACUGUGCACGUCUUGACGGUACCUAAUCAGAAAGCCACGGCUAACUACGUG
RNAcentral lists this ribosomal RNA (497 nucleotides) under uncultured bacterium. Its description in RNAcentral is "partial 16S ribosomal RNA". It matches the Rfam family "Bacterial small subunit ribosomal RNA", at positions 28 to 507 of the family's 1533-position model. The record is from RNAcentral.